This 497-nucleotide ribosomal RNA is filed under the name uncultured bacterium. RNAcentral describes it as "partial 16S ribosomal RNA". It matches the Rfam family "Bacterial small subunit ribosomal RNA", at positions 28 to 507 of the family's 1533-position model. The record is from RNAcentral.
GAUGAACGCUGGCGGCGUGCCUAAUACAUGCAAGUCGAGCGAACAGACGAGGAGCUUGCUCCUCUGACGUUAGCGGCGGACGGGUGAGUAACACGUGGAUAACCUACCUAUAAGACUGGGAUAACUUCGGGAAACCGGAGCUAAUACCGGAUAAUAUAUUGAACCGCAUGGUUCAAUAGUGAAAGACGGUUUUGCUGUCACUUAUAGAUGGAUCCGCGCCGCAUUAGCUAGUUGGUAAGGUAACGGCUUACCAAGGCAACGGUGCGUAGCCGACCUGAGAGGGUGAUCGGCCACACUGGAACUGAGACACGGUCCAGACUCCUACGGGAGGCAGCAGUAGGGAAUCUUCCGCAAUGGGCGAAAGCUUGACGGAGCAACGCCGCGUGAGUGAUGAAGGUCUUCGGAUCGUAAAACUCUGUUAUUAGGGAAGAACAAAUGUGUAAGUAACUAUGCACGUCUUGACGGUACCUAAUCAGAAAGCCACGGCUAACUACGUG